AGUUUGAUUUAUUCUUUUAAAUUAAUUAUUUAUAUCUAUUAUAUGUUUUUUAUUUAAUUUAAUUAUUUUUCAGUAAUAAAUUUUUUUAAAUAUUGUUAUUAAUAUUAAGGUAUAUAUUUAUUUUAGAUUAAUAUUGUGCCAGCAUUCGCGGUUAUACAAUUUAAAAUAAUUAAUUUUUUUUUAGUUUUAAUUUUUAUAAUUAUGAAUUUAGGUUUAUUUUAUUUAGGUGAAAUUUUUAUAAUUUUUGUCAUUCUGUAUUAAUUUUUAAUAAAUUAUUUUUAUAAAUUAGGAUUAGAUACCCUAUUAUUAAUUAAUUUAUUUUUAUGACUAUAACAUUAAUAGUUAUUUUCUAUUAAAUUUGAAUAAUUUGGCGGUAAUUUCUUUUUAGGGGAACCUGUUCUUUAAUUGAUAAACCACGAUAGUUUAAACUUAAAUUUUAUUUGUAUAUCUCUAUAUUUUGGAUUAUUUUAUAAAAAAUUAUUUUUUACUUUAAUAGAUUUAUAUUAGGUCAAGGUGCAGUUUUAUUUAAGUUAGUGUGGGUUACUUUAAUUUUAAAUAAAUUAGGAUAUUUUUAAUAAUAACAGUUGAAAUAGGAUUUGACAGUAAUUUUGAAUAAUUAUUCAUUUUGAAUUAUAUAAAAAAUUAUGCACAUAUUGCCCGUCACUCUCAUUUUAAUUGGGAUAAGUCGUAACAAAGUAAUUGUACUGGAAAGUGUAGUUAGAAUU
This 725-nucleotide non-coding RNA is filed under the name Ziczacella heptapotamica. The record is from RNAcentral. Lineage: Eukaryota; Metazoa; Arthropoda; Insecta; Hemiptera; Cicadellidae.